Molecule: ribosomal RNA, 263 nt
Filed under: uncultured bacterium
Lineage: Bacteria
Description: partial 16S ribosomal RNA
Rfam family: Bacterial small subunit ribosomal RNA
Source: RNAcentral
GUCCACGCCCUAAACGAUGUCAACUAGGUGUUGGGGAGGAGACUUCCUUAGUACCGCAGCUAACGCGUGAAGUUGACCGCCUGGGGAGUACGGUCGCAAGAUUAAAACUCAAAGGAAUUGACGGGACCCGCACAAGCGGUGGAUUAUGUGGAUUAAUUCGAUGCAACGCGAAAACCUUACCUACCCUUGACAUGCCAGGAACUUGCCAGAGAUGGCUUGGUGCCCGAAAGGGAGCCUGGACACAGGUGCUGCAUGGCUGUCGU